AGGAAAGCGGAAUUGGACAAGCACAAAGAUCACUUGAAGUUUGAUGAAGAGAGAAAGCAAGUUCGCUUCCGACAGCAACUGGAACUCUUUUUCUACAGUCGCAAAUGGCGACAGAAACAAGCAAAACGAGAUUUGCCUGUGUGACAUAUCUAGAGCGGCUUCAGAUUGUUUUACACCCAUAGUCAUGUCUUUAAUUAAGAAACUCGAUUAACGUCAUUCGACUCGUUUAUUGCCUUUUGGAAAUUGGCUGUUAGAAAGUGGACGCAGAAGAGGAUGUAAUGCCAGUUGGUUGUUUGUCCACAGCAUCAGUAAUGGAAGACGAAGCAACCAGACGUUCUUGCUGUCUGUGAAAGAGGGACGUGUGUUUGUUCAAUUGCGUGGUACUUUGGAUGAUUUGGAGACGAAGUUGCAGUGCAAUGUACAGUCGUCGUACAUGGUGUGAUUAGCUAGAUGUCACUGGAUGAGCUCAUUGAUAUCACACGAAUGAUCAUGGCAAGAAAAAUGUUGGAAACGGUUACAGUGGACGGAUCAAUCCGAGUCGCAGAGUCACUCAGUAGCUGAAAUAGUGAUGAAUUGCGUGCAAGAAAUUUUUGAAUUUGUGAUUGGCUCAUUGUACUGCACUGUGGUGCAAGGCAUUUGAG
Long non-coding RNA from Corticium candelabrum, 641 nucleotides. RefSeq lists it as uncharacterized. NCBI's taxonomy places the organism in Eukaryota, Metazoa, Porifera, Homoscleromorpha, Homosclerophorida, Plakinidae. The record is from RefSeq and is a predicted model, not a curated record. The transcript has 5 exons.